UGAGUCUGUAAUAGAGACUCCAUGGAAAAUCCCAAGAAGAACUGGGGUUAAUUUUGUGUGAGCUGGUGUGGCUUCGCCUGGUAUACUCUGUUCUGAUGUAAUUGCAGAUAUAGCCGAGGUGGGAGACACAGAUGUUGAAAAGCAGCAGAACAUUGAUAGUACAGAGACUUUUCCCGAUGCUUUUGAAGUGCAGCACUGGGAGCUGAGAAAGAUAUCAAGUACUAUAAAUCCUGUAGUCAAUGUAUUGUACAUAUCCCCACCUAAAUCUUCAGAUGAAGAUAAUAAAAGCAUAAGGAAGAAGAAGAGGAGGAAGAAGAGGAGAAAGCGCUACUUUUGAAAAACAGUCUUCAAUGUUGCCCCAGUG
Molecule: non-coding RNA, 364 nt
Organism: Cricetulus griseus (Chinese hamster)
Lineage: Eukaryota; Metazoa; Chordata; Mammalia; Rodentia; Cricetidae
Source: RefSeq, a predicted model, not a curated record